GUGGGAGCGGGAGCGGGGAGGAACAAGGCCCUGGUGCUGCCCAGAAGGAAGGAAUCUGCAAGUGCAUAGGCCAAAUGGGUAGGAGGGCAACACGGUGCACAUCUCCACGUGGUCUUAGGGAGGACCAGGCUGGCAGGAAGGAAGGGUCAGGUAAGACCCAGAUUAGGCAGUGACAGGCGGAGGGCCAGAGCACCACGUACCAUGGAAUGGGGGUGGCCUUGGGAAAGAGUGUGGAGGAAGGAUGCUCUACCUGGGAUGCGAUCAAGGACAAGUGAGCAUAGGUAGGCAAAAGGGGUGGAGAUCAGUAUGGGAGAGAGCUUUGUAGGGUUAGGAAGUAAAUUCCCCCUUCUCUAAGCCUAGCAGGUGGGACUCGCCAUACCCUCCCUCCCCCAUGGACCUGGCCAGAUGGUGUUUUGUGACGUCAGAGCCUCUGUGCCCACCCAGGGCUCCUAUUGGCUGGUGACUCGUGACCAAACAAAGCCCGAGGGCGUGUCCACCUCCGGGGAAGUCAUAUAUUGGGAGGUCAGGCCCGACCCUGGGCAGUUGGCUGGAGGAGCUCGCCUGACAAGCAUGGCCAGGUACCCCACAGGGCGCGGCACCCUGCUGCGGAAGAAGAGGACGGCCACUUCAGCUCCUAAACUGAAGGGAAAGGUACACAAGAAAUCCAGCAGGGCCAGGACACGCGGUCCCCAGAAGGGGAAGAAGCUGUCUCCGCGAGCUCUGACACCUGCGCGGGGCAACCGAAGAGGCAGAAAGCCCCACCAGGGUUUGGUCCUCCUCAACAGCAGCGCCAACGAGGUGAGCGGCUCCAGCGGGAUGCGCCAGGGCAGGAGCAGGUCCGAGGGCGCCCUGAGAAGACCAGCCCCAGGCCCGCUGACCCGCACACGCCCAGCAGCUCGGAGAGGCCACAAGAGUAGCCUCACCAAGAAGGGCCGCAACAGGUCCACCGGAGGAUGCGGAGCCCUGCCCCUCGCAAGGGGAUGCCAGAGUCCCCUGCCAAGAGAGGUGGCCGGAAACCUCGCCGCCGUUAUCCCAGAGGUGGCUAGAGG
Molecule: long non-coding RNA, 1049 nt
Filed under: Fukomys damarensis (Damara mole-rat)
Lineage: Eukaryota; Metazoa; Chordata; Mammalia; Rodentia; Bathyergidae
Description: lncRNA (ENSFDAG00000027044.1)
Source: RNAcentral